AGAGGAGAUUUAUGCCUUGGACAUGGCUUGGGAGAUACUAAAAGACUUUUCUGCCUCUUCUGAAUCAUCUCAUCCUUGUGAAGGAAAAAACCCAUUGUUGUGUUGGACACUAGAGAUUCUUGCUAUAAAAAUGAUUUUGAUACAGCAGUUGUGCCCAGGCUUCACACUGGGAUCAAGAAAUCAAGUGCAGAUUCCAAGAAGCUCCUGAUUCUGAUGUCAGUGUCCAGCAGAGCAGCA
RNAcentral lists this long non-coding RNA (237 nucleotides) under Zonotrichia albicollis (white-throated sparrow). RNAcentral describes it as "lncRNA (ENSZALG00000011510.1)". Lineage: Eukaryota; Metazoa; Chordata; Aves; Passeriformes; Passerellidae. The record is from RNAcentral.